CUGAUGUUUACUCAGCCGAAACACUGUAUCAGAAGGAAACCAGGAGAGAAAACCCACCCCGAAGCCUAAAACCCUGAAAUUUUCGGUUCAAAGGAAUCCAAAAGCAAGAAGAGCAAUGAACAUGGGAAAAGGAGACAGCCAAAGAGAGAGAUUUUUUUUUUUUAACAAAUUAAAUGUUUUCUGCGGGGAACGUUCACAGACAUUUCUUGAAGACACUGCCUUCUUUCAUCUUAUCCAAUCCCUACAGGUAGUGAAAAAAGGGAUUCAAAAAUAGCAAAACAAACAGAGGCUUAAUGGGUUUUUCUUUUAUUCAUUAAAUUAUUUAUUUUGUUGGUUUUCUCAGCAACAUUCUUCAUUGGAUUGUUGGGAUUGGAUUGGAAGCUGAUUACAUGAUAGUAUUUGAUUGAAUUUGGUUCCUUCAUCUGCAGAAAUGCCAUGUCAAUAAAGGAUGUAGUUCCAAAGAUCACUUGUAUAAAUUUGAUGCAAUUAAAUAAAUAGUACUUGUGAUGAUGGGUUUCCCUCAUUUUCCCCAUUGAAUCAUCCCAUCAAUAUUGAAUGGUGCCGCUGGAUGUCUACUUCGAAAGGGAGGAGCAUGAGAGGCAGGGUGGAGACGCGGAUGCAAAAAGAGUCUGGCAAACCGUUAGAGAGAUUGGGAGAGCAAAAAAAUUCAAGAAGAAAUUGAUGACCGAUGAGGAGAGGCUCAUUUAUAAUCUCAAGAGACUAUACUUCUUUGCUUUACUUGUAGUUAUAUAUGUUAGUAGAAUUGUUUCUUGAUCAACAAUUGUUUUCUUAAUCCUGUUACUGGACUUAGACUAGUGAUUGUUUCACUGUCUUAAUGUAGAACAUUAAAAGGAAGGUGUGUUGGCAUGUUCGAUUUAAGAGAUUCAAUGCUUGGGGCAUCUAUGGUGAGCUUGAGAAAUGUGGUUGUAUUGGAUUUUUCAUUGUAAGGAAGCGAUUUGUGCAUCUUUUAGUGCAUUUACAACUCUAUGUAUGAAGGUACACAUCUGUCCUUUCACAGGGAAGUAGUAGAAUUUUAGACUACAAUUCCUCUAGAAUUAUAAAAUGAUCUUUGAAUAGCAUGCCUGUUCUUAUAUGUCUAACUUACAACCUCAAAUUAGUCAAGCAGAACUAUGCCUCAAUCUCAAAUCCAAGUAUAAUUAUGUUUAAGCACGCAACAUAGUCUAGAUUAUGACACUAAAUAAAAUAUUGGUAGCUGCACAAAUAUGGUUCAGGCUUUUCUAGCAUCAUUUAAAAGAUGCUAUAUGCUUUGAGAGUUUGUAGUGAGGCAAUCAGAAAUGAGUUUAAAUAAAAUUUUUCAAUUUCUGCAAACAUAAUGCUGAUACCCUCUUUAUCUGCAGGUCAGUUCCUGUAUGUUGUACUCCUCAUGGGAAUGUAAGCCACAAUUUGUUUAGUUUGUAUCUCUCUAAAUUGAAAUGUUUUUCUUAUACUAUAGAUAUCAUCUAAAGAUUCAUAACUCUUUCUAGGUAUUUAGUUUUAGGUUAUGUUGACAAAGUUAGGCGGCCAAGAAAUCCCAAGACCACAAAUGCUUUUCUUUUGGAAUCUAGGUUAUGUUGUGAACAUAGCAAAAAUUAUACUUGGAUGAUGGCACAAUAUACAUGGACAUAGAGAAUUUUUUAAGAUCCUUGAGAACUCCUAAAUAAGGUAGGAUUAAAUUGCUUUUGAAUUGCAUUUCUAUCAGCAAGAGUUUUAAGCUGGGCGCCCUUUCUCUUCAGUCUUUUCUUCCUGAACCUCAUCUGUUGUCCAUGAUUUUCAUUUGUCAUGAUAUCGAUCAUUCUGACAAUUUUUGUAAUGGUUAUGAUCUGCAAUGGUAAAACUCAGCAAAAAUAAAAUGUCAAAUAUUUCUAUGCUUGAUCAUGUUUUCACUGUUUGGUAGUGACUCCCAAGUUCCAGUUUGUUGUACUGCUGAGUACUGGUUUUUCUCUUUUUUUUUUAAGCUUAGGAUAUAUUGUUGUCUAUGAUAUUUUGAGAAUUACCGUUUUCAAUUUAAUCAAUGCAGGCUUAGAAGAAAGUUGCACUGCUAGAAAUAUGAGCUACCAAGUUCCCCCAACCACCACGCCCACCCCCCCUCCCUUGUUCAUGACCCUGAGUUGUUGACACCAGAACAACCUUAGGUAUUCAAGAAGAUUGGCUUCAGGAAGAAAAAUUAUGUUCCUGUUGGUGUUCAUGGAGUCUUGGAGGUAUUGUCCAGAAUAUGCAUCUUCAUUGGAAGUUUCAUGAGACUGUACAAGCAUGCUGUGACAACUUCCCCAAAGAAAGAAAAAAGGAAGUGGCCACCAUGCUUGCCAGACUGAGUGGUGGCAUUGUAAUAAACAUUCAUAAAGCGAAGACAGCUGGCAGCAGAGCUUUGUUAAGAUCCCAAUGUUAAACUGUGAUCAUAAUAGAUGGACUGAGGAUGAGAGUCCAUGAAAAAUUGCAACGUAGUUGUGAUAAAAUUUAUGCAAUUAUUUGCUGGAUUUUUUUUGUCCAUAGACACUUAAUUCAGAUGUAAGCUUAAUCCUGAUUCAAAGCUGUUAAAGCUUAUGGAUUAUGAUGUGCUAUAAUUUUUGUAGGGAUUAUUUAAAGCCAGAUUUGAGCAAGCUUUUGAAUCUCAGAGGUUAAACAUCGAGAAAAUAGAGCAGCAGCUCCGGCGAAUGGGUUUACCCUGAGGAUCUAGUUGCCAUGGCUAGCAUCCAAAAAGUGGCUUCCACAUCAGUGGGAUUCUGAUGCUGUUGAUCUUGAGAGUGAUGCUGAUGAUUCCAUCGAAGGUCACAAUUUUCACAAUAGAACUAGAGAUUUUCGCAGGAAGCAGGAUGGGGUUGGUAGAGUAUCAUUUUAAGGGUUCCAGAAGAAAUGCGGGAACUUGAUUUGAAGAGGUGGUUGAAAAAGAUUCUGAAUUAGAGAAUAUAUUAAGCGAUCUUGACAAUGCAUACAUGAAUCAGAUUCUGAGGAAGAACGUGAAUUGAGAGCAUCAAGAGCAGAAGCAAGUCACAGUUUUCAGAGCGAGGGACAUAAAUCAGAAGAUAUGUUGAGUGAUCUUGACAAUGCAAUGUGGGAAUCAAAUUCUGAGCAAGAAGAACAUGACUUGAGAGAGCAUCAAGCACAGAUGCAAUUCAUAACUUCCAGAGCAGCAGUGAUGAAGAAAAGGAUAUUUAUGUUUAUCCCAUGAUCAGAAAUGAGACUGGGGUGGAUGAUCUUGAGAAUGAUACCAAUGAAAAUGGUGAGGUGCUCAAUGAAUUAAAAGCAUCUAAA
This 3249-nucleotide unclassified non-coding RNA is filed under the name Hevea brasiliensis (rubber tree). The record is from RNAcentral. Lineage: Eukaryota; Viridiplantae; Streptophyta; Magnoliopsida; Malpighiales; Euphorbiaceae.